Molecule: small nucleolar RNA, 188 nt
Filed under: Cavia porcellus (domestic guinea pig)
Lineage: Eukaryota; Metazoa; Chordata; Mammalia; Rodentia; Caviidae
Description: Small nucleolar RNA U3
Rfam family: Small nucleolar RNA U3
About the family: Small nucleolar RNAs (snoRNAs) are involved in the processing and modification of rRNA in the nucleolus. There are two main classes of snoRNAs: the box C/D class, and the box H/ACA class.
Source: Rfam by way of RNAcentral
GAGACUGUGCUUUUAGGGAUCAUUUUUCUAGUUCCUUCUGGAGAAGUUCUGAAUAUAGAGAGCACUAGAAGCCAAGAGGAAAACACACAAUGUCUCCUGGCUCUUGGUGUUGUUUUGCUGCAACUGCCUUUUGCCUUGAUGACUGCUCUUUGCAUCCUUAGGGAAAUCGAGAGAUGUUGUAAAUCAAA